Molecule: ribosomal RNA, 253 nt
Filed under: uncultured bacterium
Lineage: Bacteria
Description: partial 16S ribosomal RNA
Rfam family: Bacterial small subunit ribosomal RNA
Source: RNAcentral
UACGUAGGGAGCAAGCGUUGUCCGGAAUCAUUGGGCGUAAAGCGCGCGUAGGCGGCCUCAUAAGUCCGUUGUGAAAGUCAAAGGCUCAACCUUUGAAAGCCGAUGGAUACUGUGAGGCUAGAGUCCGGAAGAGGCGAGUGGAAUUCCUGGUGUAGCGGCGGAAUGCGCAGAUAUCAGGAGGAACACCAAUAGCGAAGGCAGCUCGCUGGGACGGUACUGACGCUAAGGCGCGAAAGCGUGGGGAGCGAACAGG